Mustela putorius furo (domestic ferret) is the source of this 339-nucleotide non-coding RNA. Lineage: Eukaryota; Metazoa; Chordata; Mammalia; Carnivora; Mustelidae. The record is from Rfam.
UUAUUAUCUUGUUAGCUAUUUGUUGAUUUUAAUAUACAGUAAAAGUGAACUUAAAAUUAUCAGAAGUCUUGGGGCUGAAACAAUCUGAACCUAUUCUCAGACUUGAAAUGGGUAAGAAGCCUGGCACACUGGCAUGGAGCCAGGUGUGGCAUGUGAUUGCCUAGUUGGCCACUUUUGGAAAACUGUACUGGCACUGUGGGAUGACUCAAACACUGGGUUAAAGUGCCCAAUGUUAAUGCUCAUCAGACUCUAGAAAGGAUCUGGGUAAAAGGAGUGGGUAAAAAAAGAUGUUAAAAUAUUUCCAAUAUUAAUUUUCAUUAAUUUUUAGCAAAAGUAUUA